GUGAAUCAUCAAAUUUUUGAACGCAAAUUGCACUCUCCUCGGAGAGUAUGCCUGUUUGAGGGUCAGCCUAUAAAAAAUCGACAUCGUUGCUGUUUCGCGGUGGCGUUCGUCGGAAAUUGGGUCAUCUUAAAUCUUUUGGUUUUAAGCGACUUAAAAUUUUCUUUUUGGUUCCAUGAACGUUUCUAAGAUUUAUUUCUUUACACGUUUAGGGUAUCGUUUUUUUUUAGCGUGACCCACAUUUCGGAAUG
RNAcentral lists this unclassified non-coding RNA (248 nucleotides) under Glomeraceae sp. Its description in RNAcentral is "partial contains 5.8S ribosomal RNA and internal transcribed spacer 2". The stretch from base 1 to 65 matches the Rfam family "5.8S ribosomal RNA", at positions 84 to 154 of the family's 154-position model. Lineage: Eukaryota; Fungi; Glomeromycota; Glomeromycetes; Glomerales; Glomeraceae. The record is from RNAcentral.